GGGCCCGCACAAGCAGCGGAGCAUGUGGUUUAAUUCGAGGCAACGCGAAGAACCUUACCUAGACUUGACAUCUCCUGAAUUACCCUUAACCGGGGAAGCCCUUCGGGGCAGGAAGACAGGUGGUGCAUGGUUGUCGUCAGCUCGUGUCGUGAGAUGUUGGGUUAAGUCCCGCAACGAGCGCAACCCCUAUUGUCAGUUGCUACCAUUCAGUUGAGCACUCUGGCGAGACUGCCCGGGUUAACCGGGAGGAAGGUGGGGAUGACGUCAAAUCAUCAUGCCCCUUACGUCUAGGGCUACACACGUGCUACAAUGGCAGGUACAAAGAGACGCGAUCCCGCGAGGGGGAGCAAAUCCCAUAAAACCUGCCCCAGUUCAGAUUGCAGGCUGCAACUCGCCUGCAUGAAGUUGGAGUUGCUAGUAAUCGCGAAUCAGCAUGUCGCGGUGAAUACGUUCCCGGGCCUU
Molecule: ribosomal RNA, 462 nt
Filed under: uncultured bacterium
Lineage: Bacteria
Description: bacterial SSU rRNA
Rfam family: Bacterial small subunit ribosomal RNA
Source: RNAcentral